GGAGUUAGCCGGUGCUUCUUCUGUGAGUGAUGUCCUUCCUGCCGGCUAUUAACCCGCAGGCCUUCUUUCCUCACUGAAAGUGCUUUACAACCCGAAGGCCUUCUUCACACACGCGGCAUGGCUGGAUCAGGGUUGCCCCCAUUGUCCAAUAUUCCCCACUGCUGCCUCCCGUAGGAGUCUGGGCCGUGUCUCAGUCCCAGUGUGGCUGAUCAUCCUCUCAGACCAGCUACGGAUCGUCGCCUUGGUGAGCCGUUACCUCACCAACCAGCUAAUCCGACAUAGGCUCAUCCGAUACGCGCCGAGGCCCGAAGGUCCCCCGCUUUCCCCCGUAGGGCGUAUGCGGUAUUAGCCUGGGUUUCCCCAGGUUAUCCCCCACUACCCGGGCAGAUUCCUAUGCAUUACUCACCCGUCCGCCGCUCGCCACCAGGGAGCAAGCUCCCCGUGCUGCCGCUCGACUUGCAUGUGUAGCUCGCCGCCACGCGUCAUCUGAGCAUGAUACAACUACUGA
This 508-nucleotide ribosomal RNA is filed under the name uncultured bacterium. RNAcentral describes it as "partial 16S ribosomal RNA". The record is from RNAcentral.